This 332-nucleotide long non-coding RNA is filed under the name Theobroma cacao (cacao). RNAcentral describes it as "long non-coding RNA (TCAC_LNC004700)". Lineage: Eukaryota; Viridiplantae; Streptophyta; Magnoliopsida; Malvales; Malvaceae. The record is from RNAcentral.
AAAGGUAGAUGGACAGCCUCUCUCUCUCUCUUACGGGUACUUAAACGUGCUUCUGGAAACUUUCUUGUUGAAAUGUAGGGUUUGACCGAUGAACUGCUUUCUCCUCAGGAAGACAGUAACAAUUUUCCUCAUAAACUGUGUUUCCUUUUAUAUUUUAUUGUAUAAAAGUAUAAAACGGUUCAACAGCAACCACUUCGACGGCCAUGGGGUGCUUAUAGAUUAUAUUUUCAUCGGGAUUGCUUUCUUUACUAGAAUCUUUUCCUUCUCUUGGCCAACUGAUGGGGUGCAUGUUAGAAAAGCUGGUAUUUGAACUGUGUUAUAAUGACAGGAAC